GUAGGGAAUCUUCGGCAAUGGACGAAAGUCUUACCGAGCAACGCCGCGUGAGUGAUGAAGGUCUUCGGAUUGUAAAGCUCUGUUAAUCGGGACGAAAGAGCCUAGUGUGAAUAAUGCUAGGAAGUGACGGUACCGGAAUAGAAAGCCACGGCUAACUACGUGCCAGCAGCCGCGGUAAUACGUAGGUGGCAAGCGUUGUCCGGAAUUAUUGGGCGUAAAGCGCGCGCAGGCGGAUCUGCCAGUCUGUCUUAAAAGUUCGGGGCUUAACCCCGUGAUGGGAUGGAAACUACAGAUCUAGAGUAUCGGAGAGGAAAGUGGAAUUCCUAGUGUAGCGGUGAAAUGCGUAGAUAUUAGGAAGAACACCAGUGGCGAAGGCGACUUUCUGGACGAAAACUGACGCUGAGGCGCGAAAGCCAGGGGAGCGAACGGGAUUAGAUACCCCUGUAGUCC
Molecule: ribosomal RNA, 450 nt
Filed under: uncultured bacterium
Lineage: Bacteria
Description: partial 16S ribosomal RNA
Rfam family: Bacterial small subunit ribosomal RNA
Source: RNAcentral